This 787-nucleotide ribosomal RNA is filed under the name Rotylenchulus reniformis. RNAcentral's name for it is "partial large subunit ribosomal RNA". It matches the Rfam family "Eukaryotic large subunit ribosomal RNA", at positions 344 to 964 of the family's 3401-position model. The record is from RNAcentral. Lineage: Eukaryota; Metazoa; Nematoda; Chromadorea; Rhabditida; Hoplolaimidae.
ACAAGUACCGUGAGGGAAAGUUGCAAAGCACUUUGAAGAGAGAGUUAAACAGGACGUGAAACCGAUGAGGUGGAAACGGACAGAGUCGGCGUAUCUAGCCUGUAUUCAACUGGAGACCCAAGCACAUUGGGUAGGCCUUUCCCAGAUUGGACAGGCAAUCCAACUGUUUGUGAGUCUACAGUGCAUUUGCAAGUGGAGUGCGCUGAGGUGGUCGGGUUAGCUGUGUGAUCUCGGGUUUGAGGCCAGCCCCUCGGGGUAUGGUACCCGGCUCGGGGGAGUGCUGUUUAGCCUGUUCAACUUGUAUGGAAAUGGUAUCGGGUCCGGCUGGUAUCCAGCUAACAACUGGUGGCGGUCGCAUGCGACACGUACUAGUGGUUGGUUGGGUCCUGGUCUGGCUCCCAUGUUUUCCAAUCCUCGGUGUAAAAACCGGUCAUCUGUCCGACCCGUCUUGAAACACGGACCAAGGAGUUUAGCGUGUGCGCGAGUCAUUGGGUGUUGGAAACCCAAAGGCGCAAUGAAAGUGAAGGUCUCUCUUGUGGAGCUGAUGUGUGACCCGGGUCACCGAGGUGGCCCGGAGCAACAUGGUCCCGUCCUGAUCGCUUGCGAUGGGGCGGAGACAGAGCGUACGCGCUGAGACCCGAAAGAUGGUGAACUAUUCCUGAGCAGGACGAAGCCAGAGGAAACUCUGGUGGAAGUCCGAAGCGAUUCUGACGUGCAAAUCGAUCGUCUGACUUGGGUAUAGGGAGCGAAAGACUAAUCGAACCAUCUAGUAGCUGGUUCCUUCCGA